UACGGAGGGUGCGAGCGUUGUCCGGAAUCAUUGGGCGUAAAGGGCGCGUAGGUGGCUCGGUCAGCGUGCGGUGAAAGCUCGGGGCUCAACCCCGAGUCGGCCGUGCGAACUGCUGGGCUUGAGCACUGUAGAGGCAGGCGGAAUUCCGGGUGUAGCGGUGGAAUGCGUAGAGAUCCGGAAGAACACCGGUGGCGAAGGCGGCCUGCUGGGCAGUGGCUGACACUGAGGCGUGACAGCGUGGGGAGCAAACAGG
RNAcentral lists this ribosomal RNA (253 nucleotides) under uncultured bacterium. Its description in RNAcentral is "partial 16S ribosomal RNA". It matches the Rfam family "Bacterial small subunit ribosomal RNA", at positions 524 to 776 of the family's 1533-position model. The record is from RNAcentral.